UAUCUAGUUAAUUUAUAAUACCUGCUUGUCAAGCAGGAGUUACUAAUUUAAGUGUU
RNAcentral lists this transfer RNA (56 nucleotides) under Helicella itala. RNAcentral describes it as "tRNA-Asp". Lineage: Eukaryota; Metazoa; Mollusca; Gastropoda; Stylommatophora; Geomitridae. The record is from RNAcentral.